AACAUGUAAGAUAGGGCCUUUAAUGAAGGUGGUUGGAUUUUGGUGAAAACUUCUCACAAAUCCGAUUCCACUUCUUUUAGGAACGUGACCCUUAUUUGUAAGGAUCAUGUUCAAAGACUUGCUACCAACCUCGAAUUUCUUCAAGGUGUCCUUAAGUAGCAUGUUCUCCUUUUGGAGAGUUUCUAGAUCAUGGCAUUUUAUACAUGGAGC
Molecule: long non-coding RNA, 210 nt
Filed under: Musa acuminata (dwarf banana)
Lineage: Eukaryota; Viridiplantae; Streptophyta; Magnoliopsida; Zingiberales; Musaceae
Description: long non-coding RNA (MACU_LNC005708)
Source: RNAcentral